UAGGGAANCUUCCACAAUGGGCGAAAGCCUGAUGGAGCAACGCCGCGUGUGUGAUGAAGGCUUUAGGGUCGUAAAGCACUGUUGUAUGGGAAGAAAUGCUAGAAUAGGGAAUGAUUCUAGUUCGACGGUACCAUACCAGAAAGGGACGGCUAAAUACGUGCCAGCAGCCGCGGUAAUACGUAUGCCCCGAGCGUUAUCCGGAUUUAUUGGGCGUAAAGCGAGCGCAGACGGUUGAUUAAGUCUGAUGUGAAAGCCCGGAGCUCAACUCCGGAAUGGCAUUGGAAACUGGUUAACUUGAGUGUUGUAGAGGUAAGUGGAACUCCAUGUGUAGCGGUGGAAUGCGUAGAUAUAUGGAAGAACACCAGUGGCGAAGGCGGCUUACUGGACAACAACUGACGUUGAGGCUCGAAAGUGUGGGUAGCAAACAGGAUUAGAUACCCUGGUAGUCCACACCGUAAACGAUGAAUACUAGGUGUUAGGAGGUUUCCGCCUCUUAGUGCCGAAGCUAACGCAUUAANUAUUCCNCCUGGGGAGUACGACCGCANGGUU
This 549-nucleotide ribosomal RNA is filed under the name uncultured bacterium. RNAcentral's name for it is "bacterial SSU rRNA". It matches the Rfam family "Bacterial small subunit ribosomal RNA", at positions 355 to 895 of the family's 1533-position model. The record is from RNAcentral.